ACGCUGGCGGCGUGCCUAAUACAUGCAAGUCGAACGCUUCUUUCCUCCCGAGUGCUUGCACUCAAUUGGAAAGAGGAGUGGCGGACGGGUGAGUAACACGUGGGUAACCUACCCAUCAGAGGGGGAUAACACUUGGAAACAGGUGCUAAUACCGCAUAACAGUUUAUGCCGCAUGGCAUAAGAGUGAAAGGCGCUUUCGGGUGUCGCUGAUGGAUGGACCCGCGGUGCAUUAGCCAGUUGGUGAGGUAACGGCUCACCAAGGCCACGAUGCAUAGCCGACCUGAGAGGGUGAUCGGCCACACUGGGACUGAGACACGGCCCAGACUCCUACGGGAGGCAGCAGUAGGGAAUCUUCGGCAAUGGACGAAAGUCUGACCGAGCAACGCCGCGUGAGUGAAGAAGGUUUUCGGAUCGUAAAACUCUGUUGUUAGAGAAGAACAAGGACGUUAGUAACUGAACGUCCCCUGACGGUAUCUAACCAGAAAGCCACGGCUAACUACGUGCCAGCAGCCGCGGUAAUACGUAGGUGGCAAGCGUUGUCCGGAUUUAUUGGGCGUAAAGCGAGCGCAGGCGGUUUCUUAAGUCUGAUGUGAAAGCCCCCGGCUCAACCGGGGAGGGUCAUUGGAAACUGGGAGACUUGAGUGCAGAAGAGGAGAGUGGAAUUCCAUGUGUAGCGGUGAAAUGCGUAGAUAUAUGGAGGAACACCAGUGGCGAAGGCGGCUCUCUGGUCUGUAACUGACGCUGAGGC
Molecule: ribosomal RNA, 748 nt
Filed under: uncultured Bacilli bacterium
Lineage: Bacteria; Bacillati; Bacillota; Bacilli
Description: bacterial SSU rRNA
Rfam family: Bacterial small subunit ribosomal RNA
Source: RNAcentral